Long non-coding RNA from Myotis myotis, 2121 nucleotides. RefSeq lists it as uncharacterized. The transcript has 3 exons. The record is from RefSeq and is a predicted model, not a curated record. NCBI's taxonomy places the organism in Eukaryota, Metazoa, Chordata, Mammalia, Chiroptera, Vespertilionidae.
UCCUUCUGUUCCGGGAGGAACUCCCUCCCUGGGGUGCCUGCCCCUUCCCUCCCGCGUUCCUAAUCAGCGGCCCACACCUGACCACACACAGCGCGCUCUGGACACUCCUGUGUGACCCUCGGUGCCUGGCCUGCCUCGGGGCUGGGGUCUGCACGGCCAGGAGGUCCCCCCAUCCCACGCAGCAGCCUGCGCCAUGCGACACGCUCCAGAAGCUCCCGAAGCUCGCUGAAUGCGAGAAGGAAGAAAUGCUGGUGAUGAAAAACGGGGCAAAAUCCUGGAUCCAAAUCCUUCUCCUCCCGGUUCCCCAACAUGGACUCCUCUCCUCACUUCAGCUCCCACACCUGCAGGAGGGUGAACCCCAACCAGCCCCCCACCCCCACGGCGUCAAGGCCACACCUGACCCCGGCCCGUCAAACACAAACCCGAGGCGAAGAGGGUGCACCCAGCGCUGGCAGGACCGGCCUGGGCCCCCUCGGCGCGCGGACCUGUCCGUGCUCUUGUCUACAUUCUGUGAAGCAAGAGGGCACCACAUCAGGGAAACCUCUCUCUCUUUGGACCAAAGCAUCACCAUCUUUUGCGAGUCUGAAUUCUUACCAUGUUUAAAGGCAGAGCAUUGUCCAGAGCCUUCGAUGUAUGCAUUGAUUCUAGGCCUUUAUAAAAUAGGUCGUUAACUCACCUGUUUAUUUCAAGGUACAUGCUACAGCAAUUUUGAUAUUGAGAAUGAGUCAGAACGGUUGCAAGGAGCACUCGAAUCAUAUCUUUGGAUCAAAAUACACAUUUCGUAGCGUGACUCACUCAACAAGGAUUUACUCAGAACCUCGGGUGCACCUGCAUCAAGCCAGGCCGCCUCUCACACAGAUGCCGCUCGGAAAAGGACCGAAGAAGUGCGUGUCUUAUGUCCAAGGGUGUCCCCAAAAACUGUAGACACACUUGAACAGCGGAUAGCCCAGUUUUGAAAAUGAAAUGCCUUUAUUACUCCAAAGAAAGUAAUUCAGCCAAGACAACCAGGAAAUUCUAUCUGCAGAGGUGAAAUUCUAUCUGAACAAAAAAAUCAUCCUUACUACGUUGCCACCUCACACACCACUGCCACUAUGGACGGAGCGUAUUUUCAACGCUUUCUAUUUUAUAAGGUUACUCAAGUAACCUGGAGGCUGCAUCGCAGUCAAAUUGACACUGAGCUUAAUGAAGACAUGUAGGCUGACGAUGUGUCAAAAUCACAACGAAGCCACAACACCCCCAAAACAGCCCGACCCCCACCAGAGGGGAAUCAGCCAGCAGGGGGGCCACGAGCGGAUGGAAAGGACAGGCAUCGGAAGAGAGAAGUGACCGCACCUCGACCGCUGCCGGCUCCUUGCAAAGCCUCAAGGGGCACCACGGCUCCUCUCUGGGGAGACGCCUGGUUUGUUUUUGGUGCUGAGCGAAGGAUGAGGUCGAAGACGCACAGGAACCCUUGUCGGCCAUCACUGCUGGUCCUGUGGGCCUUCUCUGAGCAGAACACGGCGCAGGCACCCAGGGCGAAGGGGGGUCAAAGGAGCAGCCCCGGCCUCGCUCUGUCGCCAGGAAGACGCGUGAAGCUCACGAGGUUUAGAAAGCGGCUUCAUCAGAUGAAUAAACAGUCUUCGUGUUUCCCGACUGAUUCUCCUCCUGGCCGCCCGUUCUGAAGAAACAGGUCUAAAUCCAGAAAUGAGCUAUUUAUACAGGAGUCAUUCAAGCGGAGUUCAUAGAGACGGGGCAUUUGAACUACUGGAAGGGCUCAGAGGCCAGGCUCAGGGCCCAGAGGCUCCGUUACCACAUGCCAGUCUGGAGGAGUGGUGACGUGAGGGAAGAUGCUGAAAAACAGUAGGAUGCAAAAUCCCAGUGUCCAUUUUGUUCUUAAAAAGCAUCUCUGUACAGGGAGGGCAAAGGUAGGGUUGCAGUUGUUCAUAAGGAAAAUAAUUAUCAAUAAUACUGGUAAUACAAUAAACUCUGUUUCGUGUACUCAUAACUGUAAACCUACUUUUGCCCACCCUGUAGAGAGAGAUAUACCUAGAAAAAUACAGGAAGGAAAUAUAGAAAAAUGUUAAUAUAUAACAGUGAUUUUAUAUCUAGGUGUCAGGAAUUAAAGGUGAAUUUUUACUUCCA